CUCCGGUUGAUCCCGCCGGACCCGACUGCUAUCAGAGUGGGACUAAGCCAUGCGAGUCGACGUAGCAAUGCGUGGCGAACGGCUCAGUAACACGUAGUCAACAUGCCCAGGGGACGUGGAUAACCUCGGGAAACUGAGAAUAAACCACGAUAGGUCACGAUUUCUGGAAUGGAUCAUGGCCUAAAUCUACAUGGCCCCUGGAUUGGACUGCGGCCGAUCAGGCUGUUGGUGAGGUAAUGGCCCACCAAACCUAUAACCGGUACGGGCUCUGAGAGGAGAAGCCCGGAGAUGGGCACUGAGACAAGGGCCCAGGCCCUAUGGGGCGCAGCAGGCGCGAAACCUCUGCAAUAGGCGAAAGCCUGACAGGGUUACUCUGAGUGAUUUCCGCUAAGGGGAUCUUUUGGCACCUCUAAAAAUGGUGCAGAAUAAGGGGUGGGCAAGUCUGGUGUCAGCCGCCGCUGUAAUACCAGCACCCCGAGUGGUCGGGACGAUUAUUGGGCCUAAAGCAUCCGUAGCCGGUUCUGCAAGUCUUCCGUUAAAUCCAGCCGCUCAACGGAUGGGCCGCGGAGGAUACUACAGGACUAGGAGGCGGGAGAGGCAAGCGGUACUCAGUGGGUAGGGGUAAAAUCCUUUGAUCCAUUGAAGACCACCAGUGGCGAAGGCGGCUUGCCAGAACGCGCUCGACGGUGAGGGAUGAAAGCUGGGGGAGCAAACCGGAUUAGAUACCCGGGUAGUCCCAGCUGUAAACGAUGCAGACUCGGUGAUGGGCUAGCCUUGUGCCAGCCCAGUGCCGCAGGGAAGCCGUUAAGUCUGCCGCCUGGGGAGUACGGUCGCAAGACUGAAACUUAAAGGAAUUGGCGGGGGAGCA
Molecule: ribosomal RNA, 868 nt
Filed under: uncultured archaeon
Lineage: Archaea
Description: bacterial SSU rRNA
Rfam family: Archaeal small subunit ribosomal RNA
Source: RNAcentral